UAGGGGAUCUUCCACGAUGGACGCAAGUCUGAUGGAGCAACGCCGCGUGUAUGAAGAAGGUCUUCGGAUCGUAAAAUACUGUUGUCAGAGAAGAACACGUGAUAAAGUAACUGUUAUCGCGCUGACGGUAUCUGACCAGCAAGUCACGGCUAACUACGUG
RNAcentral lists this ribosomal RNA (160 nucleotides) under uncultured Lactobacillus sp. Its description in RNAcentral is "partial 16S ribosomal RNA". It matches the Rfam family "Bacterial small subunit ribosomal RNA", at positions 355 to 507 of the family's 1533-position model. The record is from RNAcentral. Lineage: Bacteria; Bacillati; Bacillota; Bacilli; Lactobacillales; Lactobacillaceae.